RNAcentral lists this ribosomal RNA (549 nucleotides) under uncultured bacterium. Its description in RNAcentral is "bacterial SSU rRNA". It matches the Rfam family "Bacterial small subunit ribosomal RNA", at positions 355 to 896 of the family's 1533-position model. The record is from RNAcentral.
UGGGGAAUUUUGGACAAUGGGCGCAAGCCUGAUCCAGCCAUGCCGCGUGUCUGAAGAAGGCCUUCGGGUUGUAAAGGACUUUUGUCAGGGAAGAAAAGGCUGUUGCUAAUAUCGACAGCUGAUGACGGUACCUGAAGAAUAAGCACCGGCUAACUACGUGCCAGCAGCCGCGGUAAUACGUAGGGUGCGAGCGUUAAUCGGAAUUACUGGGCGUAAAGCGAGCGCAGACGGCUACUUAAGCAGGAUGUGAAAUCCCCGGGCUCAACCUGGGAACUGCGUUCUGAACUGGGUGACUAGAGUGUGUCAGAGGGAGGUAGAAUUCCACGUGUAGCAGUGAAAUGCGUAGAGAUGUGGAGGAAUACCGAUGGCGAAGGCAGCCUCCUGGGAUAACACUGACGUUCAUGCUCGAAAGCGUGGGUAGCAAACAGGAUUAGAUACCCUGGUAGUCCACGCCCUAAACGAUGUCAAUUAGCUGUUGGGCAACUUGAUUGCUUAGUAGCGUAGCUAACGCGUGAAAUUGACCGCCUGGGGAGCACGGUCGCAAGAUUA